This 460-nucleotide ribosomal RNA is filed under the name uncultured bacterium. Its description in RNAcentral is "partial 16S ribosomal RNA". It matches the Rfam family "Bacterial small subunit ribosomal RNA", at positions 338 to 795 of the family's 1533-position model. The record is from RNAcentral.
CCUACGGGUGGCAGCAGUGAGGAAUAUUGGUCAAUGGGCGAGAGCCUGAACCAGCCAAGUCGCGUGAAGGAUGACGGCCCUACGGGUUGUAAACUUCUUUUGUCCGGGAGCAAUGGCGUCCACGUGUCGUCUUAGCGAGAGUACCUGCAGAAAAAGCACCGGCUAAUUCCGUGCCAGCAGCCGCGGUAAUACGGAGGUUGCGAGCUUUAUCCGGAUUUAUUGGGUUUAAAGGGUGCGAAGGCGGAAUUUAAAGUCAGCGGUAAAAAUUCGGGGCUCAACCCCGUCGUGCAGUUGAAACUGGUGGCCGUGAGUGGGCGAGAAGUAGGCGGAAUGCGUGGUGUAGCGGUGAAAUGCAUAGAUAUCACGAAGAACCCCGAUUGCGAAGGCAGCUUACCGGCGCCCAACUGACGCUGAGGCACGAAAGCGUGGGGAUCGAACAGGAUUAGAUACCCGUGUAGUC